GACGAACGCUGGCGGCGUGCCUAAUACAUGCAAGUAGAACGCUGAAGAGAGGAGCUUGCUCUUCUUGGAUGAGUUGCGAACGGGUGAGUAACGCGUAGGUAACCUGCCUUGUAGCGGGGGAUAACUAUUGGAAACGAUAGCUAAUACCGCAUAACAAUGGAUGACCCAUGUCAUUUAUUUGAAAGGGGCAAAUGCUCCACUACAAGACGGACCUGCGUUGUAUUAGCUAGUAGGUGAGGUAACGGCUCACCUAGGCGACGAUACAUAGCCGACCUGAGAGGGUGAUCGGCCACACUGGGACUGAGACACGGCCCAGACUCCUACGGGAGGCAGCAGUAGGGAAUCUUCGGCAAUGGGGGCAACCCUGACCGAGCAACGCCGCGUGAGUGAAGAAGGUUUUCGGAUCGUAAAGCUCUGUUGUAAGUCAAGAACGAGUGUGAGAGUGGAAAGUUCACACUGUGACGGUAGCUUACCAGAAAGGGACGGCUAACUACGUGCCAGCAGCCGCGGUAAUACGUAGGUCCCGAGCGUUGUCCGGAUUUAUUGGGCGUAAAGCGAGCGCAGGCGGUUUGAUAAGUCUGAAGUUAAAGGCUGUGGCUCAACCAUAGUUCGCUUUGGAAACUGUCAAACUUGAGUGCAGAAGGGGAGAGUGGAAUUCCAUGUGUAGCGGUGAAAUGCGUAGAUAUAUGGAGGAACACCGGUGGCGAAAGCGGCUCUCUGGUCUGUAACUGACGCUGAGGCUCGAAAGCGUGGGGAGCGAACAGGAUUAGAUACCCUGGUAGUCCACGCCGUAAACGAUGAGUGCUAGGUGUUGGAUCCUUUCCGGGAUUCAGUGCCGCAGCUAACGCAUUAAGCACUCCGCCUGGGGAGUACGACCGCAAGGUUGAAACUCAAAGGAAUUGACGGGGGCCCGCACAAGCGGUGGAGCAUGUGGUUUAAUUCGAAGCAACGCGAAGAACCUUACCAGGUCUUGACAUCCCGAUGCUAUUUCUAGAGAUAGAAAGUUACUUCGGUACAUCGGUGACAGGUGGUGCAUGGUUGUCGUCAGCUCGUGUCGUGAGAUGUUGGGUUAAGUCCCGCAACGAGCGCAACCCCUAUUGUUAGUUGCCAUCAUUCAGUUGGGCACUCUAACGAGACUGCCGGUAAUAAACCGGAGGAAGGUGGGGAUGACGUCAAAUCAUCAUGCCCCUUAUGACCUGGGCUACACACGUGCUACAAUGGUUGGUACAACGAGUUGCGAGUCGGUGACGGCAAGCUAAUCUCUUAAAGCCAAUCUCAGUUCGGAUUGUAGGCUGCAACUCGCCUACAUGAAGUCGGAAUCGCUAGUAAUCGCGGAUCAGCACGCCGCGGUGAAUACGUUCCCGGGCCU
RNAcentral lists this ribosomal RNA (1369 nucleotides) under uncultured bacterium. RNAcentral describes it as "bacterial SSU rRNA". It matches the Rfam family "Bacterial small subunit ribosomal RNA", at positions 28 to 1381 of the family's 1533-position model. The record is from RNAcentral.